GGGGAAUCUUAGACAAUGGGGGAAACCCUGAUCUAGCCAUGCCGCGUGAUCGAUGAAGGCCUUAGGGUUGUAAAGAUCUUUCAGCUGGGAAGAUAAUGACGGUACCAGCAGAAGAAGCCCCGGCUAACUCCGUGCCAGCAGCCGCGGUAAUACGGAGGGGGCUAGCGUUGUUCGGAAUUACUGGGCGUAAAGCGCACGUAGGCGGAUUGGUAAGUUGGGGGUGAAAUCCCAGGGCUCAACCCUGGAACUGCCUCCAAAACUCCCAGUCUUGAGGUCGAGAGAGGUGAGUGGAAUUCCGAGUGUAGAGGUGAAAUUCGUAGAUAUUCGGAGGAACACCAGUGGCGAAGGCGGCUCACUGGCUCGAUACUGACGCUGAGGUGCGAAAGCGUGGGGAGCAAAC
This 400-nucleotide ribosomal RNA is filed under the name uncultured bacterium. RNAcentral describes it as "bacterial SSU rRNA". It matches the Rfam family "Bacterial small subunit ribosomal RNA", at positions 356 to 773 of the family's 1533-position model. The record is from RNAcentral.